This 497-nucleotide ribosomal RNA is filed under the name uncultured bacterium. Its description in RNAcentral is "partial 16S ribosomal RNA". It matches the Rfam family "Bacterial small subunit ribosomal RNA", at positions 28 to 507 of the family's 1533-position model. The record is from RNAcentral.
GAUGAACGCUGGCGGCGUGCCUAAUACAUGCAAGUCGAGCGAACGGACGAGAAGCUUGCCUCUCUGUUGUUAUCGGCGGACGGGUGAGUAAAACGUGGAUAAACUACCUAUAAGACUGGGAUAAAUUUUGGAAACAGCAGCUAAUACCGCAUAAUAUUUUGAACUGCACGGUUCAAAAGUGAAAGACGGUCUUGUUGUCACUUAUAGAGGGAUCCGCGCUGCAUUAGCUAGUUGGUAAGGUAACGGCUUACCAAGGCAACGACGCAUAGCCGACCUGAGAGGGUGAUCGGCCACACUGGGACUGAGAAACGGUCCAGACUCCUACGGGAGGCAGCAGUAGGGAAUCUUCCGCAAUGGGCGAAAGCCUGACGGAGCAACGCCGCGUGAGUGAUGAAGGUUUUCGGAUCGUAAAACUCUGUUGUUAGGGAAGAACAUAUGUGUUAGUAACUGUGCGUAUCUUGACGGUACCUUAUCAGAAAGCCACGGCUAACUACGUG